CUGGCUCAGGAUGAACGCUAGCUACAGGCUUAACACAUGCAAGUCGAGGGGCAGCAUGGUCUUAGCUUGCUAAGGCUGAUGGCGACCGGCGCACGGGUGAGUAACGCGUAUCCAACCUUCCCCUUAGUAGGGCAUAGCCCGGCGAAAGUCGGAUUAACACCCUAUGUUUUUCCGUUGCGGGCAUCUAAUAUGGAACAAAGAUUUAUCGCUAAGGGAUGGGGAUGCGUCUGAUUAGGUAGUAGGCGGGGUAACGGCCCACCUAGCCUUCGAUCAGUAGGGGUUCUGAGAGGAAGGUCCCCCACAUUGGAACUGAGACACGGUCCAAACUCCUACGGGAGGCAGCAGUGAGGAAUAUUGGUCAAUGGCCGAGAGGCUGAACCAGCCAAGUAGCGUGCAGGACGACGGCCCUAUGGGUUGUAAACUGCUUUUAUGCGGGGAUAAAGUCGCCCACGUGUGGGUGUUUGCAGGUACCGCAUGAAUAAGGACCGGCUAAUUCCGUGCCAGCCGCCGC
Molecule: ribosomal RNA, 511 nt
Filed under: uncultured bacterium
Lineage: Bacteria
Description: bacterial SSU rRNA
Rfam family: Bacterial small subunit ribosomal RNA
Source: RNAcentral